RNAcentral lists this long non-coding RNA (1218 nucleotides) under Salvia miltiorrhiza (redroot sage). RNAcentral's name for it is "long non-coding RNA (SMIL_LNC007949)". The record is from RNAcentral. Lineage: Eukaryota; Viridiplantae; Streptophyta; Magnoliopsida; Lamiales; Lamiaceae.
AGUUUGCAACGGAAGGCGUAACUGAAAUAAUCAGUGUUUACAGCGGAAAGCAUAACUGUGAUACAUGUAUGAAGACAUGUAUCCUUUCUGAGCCUACUUUAAGUUCGACAAAAACUCCACUCAGCAACACUUCAUCGCCCAUCACAGCUCAACCUGCACAAACAUAAACAUCGAAGGGCUAAGUACAAGAGUACUUAGUGGGCAGUUGCCAAGCAUAUAACAUAACAUCAACAACAAAACACAACAUCGCAUAAGAGGCAUAAGUUUCUUUCAAAUCCUUUGCUCAUUAAACAUUUCCAAAUUCAUAAAUAGCAUGAGCGCAUUCUUCAUCAUCAACAAUCAUAAACAAACAUCGUGUCGUGGAGAAGGCCUUCCCCAACGAACACGGGCAUCGCACCGUGAGAGGGGGCCUCCCUCAGCGGUCACGGCAUCGUACUAUUGAGGGAGGCCUUCCCCAAUAGACGCUGUAAUACUGGCAUACUGGCAUACUGCAUACUGGCAUCGCGCCGCUAGGGAGGCCUCCCUAAGCGGAUACGGGCAUCGCGCCGUGAGGAAGGCCCUCCUCAGCGGACACGGCAUCGUACUGUUGAGGGAGGCCUCCCCCAACAGACGCAAGCAUCAAUCACAUAAGCAUAAACUUAUCAGCGUAAAGCAUUCAAGCGUAAAUAAACGUAAUCAAGCGUAAAUUACAUAGGGCGUAAAUAGUAUAAACAGCACAGCGUAAAUUAUUUAACGUGCAGCAUAAUAAAGCUUAACUCAUUUAAGCGUAAUAAAGCAUACCGCACUUGAAGAUCCAAUUUGCAUUUUAAAGCAUACCACACUUGCAUAUCAUUUUAUUUAUGCGUAAGAAAUUGCCCACCUGAUAGCAAAGUUUUGCUAAGGUACUCUAACUCCUUGUGUAGUUCUUACUCUCGCGCUUGACCUUGCGAAUGUUUUGGGCUUGGUUGGCUGCUGUGAUGUUGAGUUAAAAGAACUGGAAUGACUGAACUUAAUGUUUCUGGCAGAGAGUGAAUGAGUGAUUUCUCUCACUUUUCGGUUGUAGUGCAUUGAAUGAAUUGAAACUUGAAAACAUUGGCAGGUUGAAAUGGAGGCUCCCCUGCUCUUUGGGAGAUUCUUGGUGAAAAGUGAUAGUGAGUCUUGCGUUGCUUGGCUGAAGUUGAGACUAAGAUAAGGAAGAGUUGUUGCUGCACUAGUAUGGUGGGGGAGUUGGUGGUUGUG